UGAAAACUAAGGUCAUCAUCUUCCUGUUGACGGAAUACUUAAAUGCACUUACAAAUUAUUGUCGUGAAUGAAACUAGUGACAAUAUUUCCCGCAAAAUUAGCUGUUAAAGACCAAUGGAGAGUGGAGAAAGAUGCAAAGCGCAUAAUUAAACUCAUAAGUCGAAAACUAACUGACAAGCAAUGGUACCCCCCCCCAAAAAAAAACAAAAAAACAAACCCCAAAACAAAACCACACGAAAAAGCAACAGUAUACAAAUCACAACAUAUGAAAACUAGAAUGAGCAACAAAAACACCCAAACGACCGGGGGCACAUACAGAUUGUGGUGGGGUGAAGCCAAUUUUUCAGUGCUCAACAAUUCUGUAACAUGGUACAAUGAUAAAAAA
RNAcentral lists this long non-coding RNA (385 nucleotides) under Mytilus galloprovincialis (Mediterranean mussel). Lineage: Eukaryota; Metazoa; Mollusca; Bivalvia; Mytilida; Mytilidae. The record is from RNAcentral.